GGCUUCUUAUCUCAGUGGUAGAGCAUUUGACAGCAGAUCAAAAGGUCACCAGUUCGAACCUGGUAGGUCCCU
RNAcentral lists this transfer RNA (72 nucleotides) under Capsicum annuum. It matches the Rfam family "tRNA". From Rfam's summary of the family: Transfer RNA (tRNA) molecules are approximately 80 nucleotides in length. Their secondary structure includes four short double-helical elements and three loops (D, anti-codon, and T loops). Further hydrogen bonds mediate the characteristic L-shaped molecular structure. tRNAs have two regions of fundamental functional importance: the anti-codon, which is responsible for specific mRNA codon recognition, and the 3' end, to which the tRNAs corresponding amino acid is attached (by aminoacyl-tRNA synthetases). tRNAs cope with the degeneracy of the genetic code in two manners: having more than one tRNA (with a specific anti-codon) for a particular amino acid; and 'wobble' base-pairing, i.e. permitting non-standard base-pairing at the 3rd anti-codon position. The record is from Rfam by way of RNAcentral. Lineage: Eukaryota; Viridiplantae; Streptophyta; Magnoliopsida; Solanales; Solanaceae.